UUAUCUUUUGACGAAAAGGCAUUCUUUUUC
Molecule: non-coding RNA, 30 nt
Filed under: Rattus norvegicus (Norway rat)
Lineage: Eukaryota; Metazoa; Chordata; Mammalia; Rodentia; Muridae
Source: RNAcentral